This is a non-coding RNA of Triticum aestivum (bread wheat), 135 nucleotides long. Lineage: Eukaryota; Viridiplantae; Streptophyta; Magnoliopsida; Poales; Poaceae. The record is from Rfam.
GAUAUACUCCCUCCAUUCUAAAAUUCUUGUCUUAGAUUUGUCAAAAUACGGAUAUAUCAAGUCACGUUUUAGUAUUAAAUACAUCCGUAUCUAGACGAAUGUAAGACAAGAAUUUUAGGACGGAGGGAGUAUUUA